UACGGAGGGUGCGAGCGUUGUCCGGAAUCACUGGGCGUAAAGGGUGCGUAGGCGGGGCUUUAAGUCAGGGGUGAAAUCCUGGAGCUCAACUCCAGAACUGCCUUUGAUACUGAGGAUCUUGAGUUCGGGAGAGGUGAGUGGAACUGCGAGUGUAGAGGUGAAAUUCGUAGAUAUUCGCAAGAACACCAGUGGCGAAGGCGGCUCACUGGCCCGAUACUGACGCUGAGGCACGAAAGCGUGGGGAGCAAACAGG
Molecule: ribosomal RNA, 253 nt
Filed under: uncultured bacterium
Lineage: Bacteria
Description: partial 16S ribosomal RNA
Rfam family: Bacterial small subunit ribosomal RNA
Source: RNAcentral